UACGUAGGGUGCAAGCGUUGUCCGGAAUUAUUGGGCGUAAAGAGCUCGUAGGCGGCUUGUCGCGUCGACUGUGAAAACCCGAGGCUCAACUUCGGGCUUGCAGUCGAUAUGGGCAGGCUAGAGUUCGGUAGGGGAGACUGGAAUUCCUGGUGUAGCGGUGAAAUGCGCAGAUAUCAGGAGGAACACCGAUGGCGAAGGCGGGUCUCUGGGCCGUAACUGACGCUGAGGAGCGAAAGCAUGGGGAGCGAACAGG
RNAcentral lists this ribosomal RNA (253 nucleotides) under uncultured bacterium. Its description in RNAcentral is "partial 16S ribosomal RNA". It matches the Rfam family "Bacterial small subunit ribosomal RNA", at positions 524 to 776 of the family's 1533-position model. The record is from RNAcentral.